Molecule: ribosomal RNA, 901 nt
Filed under: Streptomyces sp. 1C3
Lineage: Bacteria; Bacillati; Actinomycetota; Actinomycetes; Kitasatosporales; Streptomycetaceae
Description: bacterial SSU rRNA
Rfam family: Bacterial small subunit ribosomal RNA
Source: RNAcentral
CAAGUCGAACGAUGAACCACCUUCGGGUGGGGAUUAGUGGCGAACGGGUGAGUAACACGUGGGCAAUCUGCCCUGCACUCUGGGACAAGCCCUGGAAACGGGGUCUAAUACCGGAUACUGACCUGCCAAGGCAUCUUGGCGGGUCGAAAGCUCCGGCGGUGCAGGAUGAGCCCGCGGCCUAUCAGCUUGUUGGUGAGGUAAUGGCUCACCAAGGCGACGACGGGUAGCCGGCCUGAGAGGGCGACCGGCCACACUGGGACUGAGACACGGCCCAGACUCCUACGGGAGGCAGCAGUGGGGAAUAUUGCACAAUGGGCGAAAGCCUGAUGCAGCGACGCCGCGUGAGGGAUGACGGCCUUCGGGUUGUAAACCUCUUUCAGCAGGGAAGAAGCGAAAGUGACGGUACCUGCAGAAGAAGCGCCGGCUAACUACGUGCCAGCAGCCGCGGUAAUACGUAGGGCGCAAGCGUUGUCCGGAAUUAUUGGGCGUAAAGAGCUCGUAGGCGGCUUGUCGCGUCGGUUGUGAAAGCCCGGGGCUUAACCCCGGGUCUGCAGUCGAUACGGGCAGGCUAGAGUUCGGUAGGGGAGAUCGGAAUUCCUGGUGUAGCGGUGAAAUGCGCAGAUAUCAGGAGGAACACCGGUGGCGAAGGCGGAUCUCUGGGCCGAUACUGACGCUGAGGAGCGAAAGCGUGGGGAGCGAACAGGAUUAGAUACCCUGGUAGUCCACGCCGUAAACGGUGGGCACUAGGUGUGGGCAACAUUCCACGUUGUCCGUGCCGCAGCUAACGCAUUAAGUGCCCCGCCUGGGGAGUACGGCGCAAGGCUAAAACUCAAAGGAAUUGACUGGGGCCCGCACAAGCGGCGGAGCAUGUGGCUUAAUUCGACGCAACGCGAGAACCUAA